GUGUGUGUGUGUGUGUGAGUGUGUGUGAGAGAGAGACUGUGUUAGCUUGUGUGUCCACCUCACAGGCGUAGGAGCGUGGGGUGCUGCUGGUCCUCCUCUGCUGCUGCAGGCAGGGUGAUGCAGCGCCGUGCGUCAGAGUCCAGGCCACGGGUCUCAGGAGUGUCGGCCGUGUUCAAACAUUAAAAAGGGCUCCAUCGCAUCCCUGGGCCGGGGCGCAGGCUGUGGCUCCACACACACACACACACACACACACACACACACACACACACACACACACACACUCCCAGUCGUAUUUGACCCGUGGGUAGAGAGAUGGUGUGAGGGAGAGGACUAAGAGAGAGAGAGGGGGUGAAAGAGAGAGAGAGAGAGAGACUCCACUCAUCACCCUGAAGGUAACCAUACGGCACCGGCCACCCACCCACUGUGGUGAAUAUCUCGCUCUCCUUCUCCUCCUCAAUUUAAGACUUGCAUUCAAAAACAACACUGAAUCUGUGAAUACUGAGCGAGCUGAUGCAGGGCACUCUAAUAUGGAGGUCACUUCUCUGCAUACACUGAGGGGGUACUUACUGUAGGUUUUCUUUAUAAAAAGGUUUUCUUUAUAUUUGCCAAGGACAAGGAUAUUGUUGUGUAUGAUCAGCAUUUUCUUUAAAUGUCUCUUCAGAAAUUGUAAUGUAGUACCCGGUUAAUGAGAUAACUGCAUGCAUAUUUAUAGAGUGUUCAUGACUUUUGUGAGGGUGGGUGGGGGGGGGGGGGGGGGUUUAAAGCCUCGGCACUGGUUGAAGUCUCAUCCUGUUGGGGUGCCUGUAAAAAAAAUAUAUAUAUAUAUCAUGAGAUGACACGUGAGAUCCAUUGGAUGGCCAUCUUUCUGAGAUUGCAACACUGUUAGGCCUGUGUGGUCAGAGCUUUUCAAUCAUGCUCGCUCUACUGCGAUCUCCUCAUUAGUCUCACACACCAAAUGGACCGUUCUUUAUUUUAGUAUUAUGGGGAUUGGAGUUUGUGCAGGAUGGUUGAAUGACACUGGUCAUUUAAAAGAAAGUCACUUGUAGUUCCUUUUUUUUAUCAUUAUUGUUCCAACUUCAAGUCGCACAAUUGUAAUCUUUGAAAUGAUUUUGCUUUUGUUAUCAGCUUUAACUUGCUUAACCUUUUAGUAUUUAUUGCUUCAGUUAUGCCUUUGUGUUCCGAGUUGUGUUUGCUGUGACGGUAAUGGCUCCCUGUCUGUGUUAAUGAAUUGAGUAAUUCUAUGUCAUUCUAUGGUGUGUCUUGCUGCCUUGUGCACUAGGAAAAAAAAAACAUCUAUUGUGAAAUUAUAAAACUGUACAUUUCUGAUUUAAGAUCAUUUUACAAGCUUAUGUCAAUGAUUUUUAUGUCUACAGUCUAAAAUAUGAGAACGCUACUAUUUUUAUGACUAUUAGUAACUGUGUUUUGUG
Clupea harengus (Atlantic herring) is the source of this 1427-nucleotide long non-coding RNA. NCBI's taxonomy places the organism in Eukaryota, Metazoa, Chordata, Actinopteri, Clupeiformes, Clupeidae. The record is from Ensembl.